This 253-nucleotide ribosomal RNA is filed under the name uncultured bacterium. RNAcentral's name for it is "partial 16S ribosomal RNA". It matches the Rfam family "Bacterial small subunit ribosomal RNA", at positions 524 to 776 of the family's 1533-position model. The record is from RNAcentral.
UACGUAGGGUGCAAGCGUUGUCCGGAAUUAUUGGGCGUAAAGAGCUCGUAGGCGGUUUGUCGCGUCUGCUGUGAAAACUCGGGGCUUAACCCCGGGCCUGCAGUGGGUACGGGCAGACUAGAGUGCGGUAGGGGAGACUGGAAUUCCUGGUGUAGCGGUGAAAUGCGCAGAUAUCAGGAGGAACACCGGUGGCGAAGGCGGGUCUCUGGGCCGCUACUGACGCUGAGGAGCGAAAGCGUGGGGAGCGAACAGG